ACGGAGGAUGCAGGCGUUAUCCGGAUUUAUUAGGUUUAAAGGGUGCGCAGGCGGCCCGGUAAGUCAGUGGUGAAAGAUUGCCGCUUAACGGUAAAAUUGCCAUUGAUACUGUCGGGCUUGAAUACGGUAGAGGUAGGCGGAAUGUGUAGUGUAGCGGUGAAAUGCUUAGAUAUUACACAGAACACCGAUUGCGAAGGCAGCUUACUAUGCCGCGAUUGACGCUCAGGCACGAAAGCGUGGGGAUCAAACAG
This 251-nucleotide ribosomal RNA is filed under the name uncultured prokaryote. Its description in RNAcentral is "partial 16S rRNA". It matches the Rfam family "Bacterial small subunit ribosomal RNA", at positions 525 to 775 of the family's 1533-position model. The record is from RNAcentral.